AAGAGUGUACUAAUGUUAGAAAUGUAUCUUUAAGUUAUUGUUUCACGUCUCCAAAGUUAUUUAUCCAACGAGAUAUCACAAGUAUUUUUAGGAGUAGUAUCUUUAUUUUUCACCGUUUUCAGUUUUCGAGUAGACUAAUAUAUGAUGUAUUUAGGUAUAUUAUUCAGUUCCGCUUGUUUUAUAAAAAAUAUAUAAAAUAUGUCUUUACCCAUUACGGAACAACGGUGUUCCGGACAAUAGGGAGGCGUGAGCGGAGCCGAAGCUAAUGAGACGUAAGAGGUACACCGAGCGAAUGCUGCCCUUGCAAUGCCCGUGUUAUGGGACGGGACGCACGCAGAGACAGCACCCGCCAUGGUGUAGACUAUGACAGGGUGUGAGAGUUAAUCGUUACGUAACACAAAUGCAGAUUAAUCCGCAAAGAUUAAUUAAUUCGCGGUGUAAAAAUUAAUGGCGUGCUUAAUUUUUCAUCUCGUAUUCCCAAUUAUUCAUCAUAACUGAGGAAAAUGUCAAACAUAUUGGCCUACUUGACUUGUGCUUGUUGUUUUUUGGCAUGUAACGUAUUAUCAUUGAGUAAUUACACCAAAAAUUACACUAUGAGAUAUCCCGAACUCUUUAGACAUUACGUUAAUACUAAAUUAUCCGACCGAGCGAGAGAAGUGUUCAUGGACUUUUCAAGUACUAUAUCGUGCAAAGAAAAGGGUGGCAUUUGUGUUUCCAGAGCGGAAUGUACAUCAGAGAGAAAAAUGUACUUCAGCGGAGGCUGCAACACCCGUGAUAAAGUAUGUUGCUACGAGUCCGAAGGAUGGAAAUGAAAAUUAUAAAUAUAUAAUUUGCGUUGCUCUAACAACA
This is a long non-coding RNA of Cydia splendana, 849 nucleotides long. RefSeq lists it as uncharacterized. Lineage: Eukaryota; Metazoa; Arthropoda; Insecta; Lepidoptera; Tortricidae. The record is from RefSeq and is a predicted model, not a curated record. The transcript has 3 exons.